This 1525-nucleotide long non-coding RNA is filed under the name Coturnix japonica (Japanese quail). Its description in RNAcentral is "lncRNA (ENSCJPG00005014512.1)". Lineage: Eukaryota; Metazoa; Chordata; Aves; Galliformes; Phasianidae. The record is from RNAcentral.
AUGAAGCAGGGUGAGCUGAGCAUACCUUCCACUCUGCUCCUGCACAACACCAGCAGUUUUGAAGAGCCUGAAACGACAGAGGUAGAGGAAAGCUUCCCAAAGACAGGCUGCCAGGCUUUCCAGGACAGGCUCAUCAGCAGCAUCACCCACAGCAGAAAUCACAACUGGCAACUGGAAAGCAGCUUUGAGAAGCAGGACUCAGAGUACAGGCCUCUGCCCAGCACCACAGAUGGAGGCAGUUACGAGCAGCAGCUUCCUGACCUGUACCAGAAGAUGGUGCUGGAAGUGACAGAGCAAACACAAACCAUGUGCGAGUACAUUGCGAAUCCAGCGACUGACAGAGCUACAGUCUACCUGCCCUCAGCCAUCUCCCCACCUGUCACAGACACUAAUGAAGGAGACCCCGAACUUUUGUGCAGUCCCAUCUCUGUCUUCCCAACAACUUUUUUGACACCAGAAUUUUCCUGCGGAGGGAAACUUAAUUUGGACACGGUGAGGCUGAACAGCAGCUCUUUCACAAUGUAGGCUGGCAGGGUGGCACAGCAGCCCGGCCUGAACGUUUGCACUUUAGCCAAGCAUUGCAAUAUGUGUUUCAUUGCAGCCAGGACAGCAACACGCACGUCACGCCUCCAGGUAACACAGCCCAGCUCACAGGUAUCCCAGGUUCUAAGCCCUGCCUUAAUUCACAGGGCAGCAGCUCCUCACCCACAGAGCACAUUGAGGUAGAACUCAAGACAAAAGUCCAGAUUGCUGGGUUCAUUUCUUGGGCUGCCUGCAGAGCCAGAGCUGCCUCAGGUGCCCACCCGCUGCCUGAACACAAGGCUGCUUUGGACUGCAGCAGACAAGCUCAAAGUCAUCCAACACAACGCCUGCCCAGCAACAAGGAGGGAUCUCAGUACGGUCAGAGCUGAGCAGGCGAUGGCUGCACUGUGCUCCAGCUGCACGCAGCUCACAAAUGCAGCACCUGAGAAUCUUCUGCUCACCUGACGUGCUCAGUGUGUGCUCAGUGCCUGCAGACGUUCCUCACUGCUGCACGAACACAGGCACAGCUCACAGCCCCAGGGACAACUGCAGCCCCAUGUGGGCACUGCAGGAUCCCUCACUCCAUUGAGCUCUAUCAGCCCUGCUGCAAAACCAGAGCGAGCCGACCCUCAGGGCUUAGCAAGGAACCGUCAGCAGAACGAAGCAGGCACCACGUGCACACAGUACGUCAGAUGGGCUGCCGAGAUUUGUAAUCAUUUAUUGAAGUAUUCUAAUUACAGGCUUGAAGUCCGUGUUACACAUGUAAUGACUUUGUUUACUACGUGCGUUAUUUAUAAAUAGAACGUUGGAAACCUGAAAUUUGUUUGGUGUUGUUCUCUCUGGUCAAGCUGAAGCUCGAGGCUGCAGCCAGCACACAGCAAAGCACCGUAAAUGGCAGAGCUGGAGGGGGCAGAGCAGAGCCGAGCUCACCUGCAGCACAACGCAUUGCCUCCUGCACUGCCCCCUGCAUUGCCUCCUGCACUGCCCCCUGCAUUGCCUCCUC